AGAAACAUAGCUCAGUUGGUUAGAGCAACACGUUGACAUCGUGUAGGUCGCUGGUUCAAAUCCAGUUGUUUCUA
RNAcentral lists this transfer RNA (74 nucleotides) under Glaucocystis sp. BBH. RNAcentral's name for it is "tRNA-Val". It matches the Rfam family "tRNA". From Rfam's summary of the family: Transfer RNA (tRNA) molecules are approximately 80 nucleotides in length. Lineage: Eukaryota; Glaucocystophyceae; Glaucocystales; Glaucocystaceae. The record is from RNAcentral.